GAAGAAGCAGGGGAAUCUCAAGUUUUCGAUUCGUUUGCAAAAAUGAAAGUCAACGACGAACAUGAAUCAAACCAAGCCGGUUUAGCCAGUGGAAUAGACAAAGCCGGAGAAGAUCAAAUCGAUUACGGGCAGAAAAUCUCAGACAUUGGUUCAGCAGUGAGUGGAAAAGCAGUGGCAGCGAAGGAUUUUGUGGCAUCAAAGCUGGGGUAUGGGGAAACAACACAGGAAUCCAACAACAAUUCGUCUUCGCCAUUAGAGUACGGAAGAAAGAUAGCUUUAACGGUAACUGAGAAGCUAAAGCCAGGGGAAGAAGACAAAGCACUGUCAGAAGUAAUUUCGGAGGCUUUCAAUAAAAGUAAGGAUGAGGUAGUCAAAGUUGGAG
Molecule: unclassified non-coding RNA, 382 nt
Filed under: Hevea brasiliensis (rubber tree)
Lineage: Eukaryota; Viridiplantae; Streptophyta; Magnoliopsida; Malpighiales; Euphorbiaceae
Source: RNAcentral